This 253-nucleotide ribosomal RNA is filed under the name uncultured bacterium. RNAcentral describes it as "partial 16S ribosomal RNA". It matches the Rfam family "Bacterial small subunit ribosomal RNA", at positions 524 to 776 of the family's 1533-position model. The record is from RNAcentral.
UACAGGGGGUGCAAACGUUGCUCGGAAUUAUUGGGCGUAAAGCGCGCGUAGGCGGCUACUUAAGUCGGAUGUGAAAGCCCUUGGCUCAACUGAGGAAGUGCACCCGAAACUGAGUGGCUUGAGUACUAAAGAGGGUCGCGGAAUUCCCGGUGUAGAGGUGAAAUUCGUAGAUAUCGAGAGGAACACCGGUGGCGAAGGCGGCCUUCUGGACAGUGACUGACGCUGAGACGCGAAAGCGUGGGGAGCAAACAGG